RNAcentral lists this transfer RNA (72 nucleotides) under Stegodyphus mimosarum. It matches the Rfam family "tRNA". Rfam says of the family: Transfer RNA (tRNA) molecules are approximately 80 nucleotides in length. The record is from Rfam by way of RNAcentral. Lineage: Eukaryota; Metazoa; Arthropoda; Arachnida; Araneae; Eresidae.
GCCUUCGUGGUGUAAUGGUUAGCACAUCCGGCGUGUAUUCGAGAGGUCCAGGUUCGAGUCCUAGCGAGGGCA